UGACCCACUGAUGACCUCAUCAUUGGUAGAGGGUACAACUAGUAACUACCAGUUUUCUGCUAAGGUCUUCUCUCACUGCUUUCUCUCUCUCUCCUCGUGAAGACACUCUGUGGAUGUCAAAGAAGGACUGAGUCAUAGCGUAUCAGAGAGUGUUCCUCGUUAGGGAGAGACUACAGUAGCCAGCACUCCCCCGCGACCCAUCAUCAUGCCUCCUCCCCCUCCUCCUCCUCCUCCUGCUCCCCCUCCCCCCACACUGGCUCAGGCCAACACUGAGAAACCAAAA
Amphimedon queenslandica is the source of this 283-nucleotide long non-coding RNA. RefSeq lists it as uncharacterized. NCBI's taxonomy places the organism in Eukaryota, Metazoa, Porifera, Demospongiae, Haplosclerida, Niphatidae. The record is from RefSeq and is a predicted model, not a curated record. The transcript is spliced from 2 exons.